This 67-nucleotide transfer RNA is filed under the name Geomys knoxjonesi. Its description in RNAcentral is "tRNA-Pro". It matches the Rfam family "tRNA". Rfam says of the family: Transfer RNA (tRNA) molecules are approximately 80 nucleotides in length. Their secondary structure includes four short double-helical elements and three loops (D, anti-codon, and T loops). The record is from RNAcentral. Lineage: Eukaryota; Metazoa; Chordata; Mammalia; Rodentia; Geomyidae.
CAAGGAAUAGUUUAAGUAGAAUUCCAGCUUUGGGAGUUGGAGGUAGGAUUAAAAAUCUUUUCCUUGA